GUAAUUGUUCAUUUGAUUAUGUAUUUGUUAUGGAACAGGAAGAGCAGAAUAGCAUAGUAAAUGAAAAUUGUUCAAAUUACUGAUAUUUUGAGCACUUUGGCCAAAUGUGUUUGUUUGCUUUUGCUAAUUUAAAACCGCUACGUCAUAAAAUCCAGAUAGUUACAUUACAUUUGUUGUCCAGCAAUCGCAGGCAAGCACCUCCAAGUGUGGUCCUUCAUCAUGGCCAGGCGAUGAUGCUGAACUGGUAGCUGCAAGCCAGGCUGUGGAAGACUUGCUCAAGUCCCAAGAGUCCAGCAGUCAGACUAGCAGCCAGUCUCUGGAUUUCCAGUGCCGGGGUUCCCGACCCACAGACAAGACCAAGCAGCCUGAGCCCGCUGUCCGCCCCAAGCAGCCUGUAUCCACUAGCCAGCCCACAGAGUCCCCGUCCACAACCAAGGGUCAUGAUUAUCCCAUGGAAGCACCUCUGAGUGACUCCCCUGUGGAGCUAGAGGGUUGGGUGCAUCUGUGGGAAAACCCCAGUGGCAUCCCAUCUGCCGACAUUUCAUGGCUCAAUGAGGAUACAGAAAGAGGGCUGUUUAAAAUUUACAAUGACAAAACUGGUCUGUAUACGAGGCGACGGGUGAUGAAAUCAGACCACAUGUGGUUUUACCCACCAGAACCUCCUGGCUAUGCCAGUUGUGCUAUAUGCCUAGCCGUCCUCGGGGGGGUACUUACCGGUAAUAAUUAUUAUGUAUAGAUUAAAACAAAUGUGGGCCAGGGGCAUAAAGGGGGGCGGGGGGAGGUGGCAAUGGCCCCUUCCCUACUUACUAUACCCCCUUACUUCUGGCACCCUUGCUCGGACCACACCCAUCUUCGAACUUGGCCUUCAUUUUGAGCUCAACUACACACCUGUAAUGUUUUGUGACUGCAUCUUGCACUGUUGUUACGCUAUCGCGUAAGACAGACGCGAGGAAAGUAGGAACCCGCUUGCAGCAGCACCUAACACUCCAUCAUGCUCACCCAUUCCCAUCUACAUCACUGAUGUAACUGACUGACGCACUCCACAUUUGUCGUCAUUGCUUUAAUUUCAUUAAUGUAAUCUAAUGUUUGUAAUGUAGUCUAAUUACUGUUACUUAAUCUAACUACUGUAAUGUAAUCUUAUUAUACAUACGCCAUUUGGUGAUACCAGGCCUGGCGGAGAUCUGCACCCUACUGAGUGCACUCUUCUAGUUACUUUUGUACUUUUAUUUAAAGGAAAUCUCGAAUGUAGGACGUCUACUUGUAUUUUUACAGAGCGGUAUUGCUACUUUUACUCAGGUAAAAGUUAUGCGUACUUUCUCCGCCACUGUAUACUUGUACUCCACUACAUUUCAGUGGAAAUACUGUAGUUUUUACUUCACUACAUUUAUUUGGCAGCUAUAGUAACUUCACAGAUUAAAGCUGAUUAUACAAACAUGUAUAUUUUGUAUACAUACAGAACAUAAAGUUACUUUACAAGAUAUGAUGCAUUGUUUAAGAUGAAAAUGCCCAACACUAUAUAAAGUAGGUAGAACCAGCUGCAACAAUGUUUAAUCUGUUAAUGUGGGAGGGAUCCAUGUUUCAUGUCAUCAGGAGACUGAAGAGCCAUUCAGAAAGCUGCUGAGAGCAACUUUUACUAAGGAACUGAGAGAACUCCUGAGCUAAAAGAAGGGGUGGGGUUUAGCCUGUUGCUAUGGCGGACAUCAUGCUUCAUAAUUAAUUUACUCACUGUGUUGACAGUGAUGGGUUGACAGGUGACCGGUCUGUGUCAGUGAACGUGAAAUAAUAUAUUCACAUCACAUUGAAACACAGCUGAAACUGAUCAGGAGCAUGUUCAUAUAAAGAAAAUGUUGGAUGAAUGAAAAAAGUGAAGAAAUCAAGUUGAAGUUCAAGCACUUCAGGCAUGGAAAGUACAGAUGGCUUGUAAAUUUGUUGAUGACCUAAAGUUUACUGAAAGGUACUUCCAAUUGAAGUGUAAGCUCUGAAAGGAGUAAAAUAGAGAAGUCAAAUAAAUAAAUAAAACUAGAAGAGUGCACUCACAUCUUAUCGGCCAGGAAUAUGUGGUAAUUACCAGCUGCGACAGUGUGGCUGGUGUUGUUUUCCCCUUGUGAGUCUGUGUGUGUGUGUGUCAUCAUGGCAAAAUGUGGUCCUGGAGACACCUACUGUAGCAGGAACUACCACAGAAGCGGCCAGUCAGUCAGUUACAUCAGUGAUGUAGAUGGGAAUGGGUGAGCAUGAUGGAGUGUUAGGUGCUGCUGCAAGCGGGUUCCUACUUUCCUUGCGUCUGUCUUACGCGAUAGCGUAACAACAGUGCAAGAUGCAGUCACAAAACAUUACAGGUGUGUAGUUGAGCUCAAAAUGAAGUAUCCGAUCACAAAAGUAAUCUGAUUUCUUCGAAGUAAUCCGAUUACAAAAGUAAUCUAAUUACAAAAGUAAUCUGAUUACCAAAGUAAUCGGAUUACUUCGAAGUAAUCUGAUUACAAAAGUAAUCUAAUUACAAAAGUAAUCGGAUUACUUUGAAGUAAUCAAAUACAGAUUCCUUUAGAAAAAAAUUAUCAUAAAAGUUUUCAGAUUACAAUGAUUACAAUUUUUUUAUACUCGUUAAGAAGUAUGGUUUUCCAGUUGGUUACACCAGUGGUGGAAGAAGUACUCAGAUCAUUUACUUGAGAAAAAGUAGAAAUAGCACAAUGUAAAAAUUCUCAAAUAUAAGUAGCCCUGCACUCAAAAAUUGACUGAAGUUGUAUUAUAAGCAAAAUGUAGUAAAAGUAUCAAAAGUAAAAGUAUUCAAAAUGCAGACUGGUCCCUUUCAGAAGUUUAUAUUAUUAUACAUAUGACUAUUAGCAUUUAUGCAUUAACUUGUAAGUAGUAUUGUUGCAGCUGGUUCUACCUACUUUAUAUAGUGUUGGGUAUUUUCAUCUUAAACAAUGCAUCAUAUCUUGUAAGGUAACUUUAUGUUCUGUAUGUAUACAAAAUAUACAUGUUUGUAUGAUCAGCUUUAAUCUGUGAAGUUACUAUAGCUGCCAAAUAAAUGUAGUGAAGUAAAAAUUACAGUAUUUCCACUGAAAUGUAGUGGAGUACAAGUAUACAGUGGCGGAGAAAGUACGCAUAACUUUUACCUGAGUAAAAGUAGCAAUACCGCUCUGUAAAAAUACAAGUAGACGUCCUACAUUCAAGAUUUCCUUUAAAUAAAAGUACAAAAGUAACUAGAAGAGUGCACUCAGUAGAGUGCAGAUCUCCGCCGGGCCUGGUAUCACCAAAUGGCGUAUGUAUAAUAAGAUUACAUUACAGUAGUUAGAUUAAGUAACAGUAAUUAGACUACAUUACAAACAUUAGAUUACAUUAACGACCUCAACCUCCCGCUCCUCGCUCUGAGAUGCUCCCUGUGUAUUCCACCUCCAUCGAGAGCCCAGUGGAGAAACAAUCUGUGGACAUCCCAUCCUGUUACGCCCCCUUCAGUGACAUUUUCUGCCCAAAGAAAGCCUCAAAGCUGCCUCCACAACGGCCAUGAGACUGUGCUAUCGAUCUACUUCCGGGUGAGCCAGUGCCAAGCGGGAAGAUAUACCCAUUAUCCAUCCCAGAGCAGAUGGCCAUGGAGGAGUAUAUCAGUGAAGCAUUUCACCAAGGCUAUAUCCGUCCCUCCACUUCUCUGCUGCUUCCAGUUUCUUCUUUGUGGCCAAAAAGGACGGAGGCUUGCGGCCUUGUGUCGACUACCGGGGCCUCAACAAAAUCUACUCCAGUGUGUGCUCUACUCCAGUGUGGUUCCCUACCUGCUACCCCUUCAUCAUCAACGUAUCAGUAAGACAAAGGACAGUAUCUGUGAACUUUCUACAUCCUAACUAUAAUCCAUUACCUAAC
Molecule: long non-coding RNA, 3852 nt
Organism: Siniperca chuatsi (mandarin fish)
Lineage: Eukaryota; Metazoa; Chordata; Actinopteri; Centrarchiformes; Sinipercidae
Exons: 3
Source: RefSeq, a predicted model, not a curated record